ACUCAAAUGAAUUGACGGGGGCCCGCACAAGCGGUGGAGCAUGUGGUUUAAUUCGACGCAACGCGAAGAACCUUACCUGGGCUCGAACGGCUUCUCAACGCCGGUGGAAACACCGGUACCCCGCAAGGGGGUGGAGUCGAGGUGCUGCAUGGCUGUCGUCAGCUCGUGUCGUGAGAUGUUGGGUUAAGUCCCGCAACGAGCGCAACCCUUGUCCCGUGUUGCCAGCAUUUAGUUGGGCACUCUCGGGAGACCGCCAGCGAUAAGCUGGAGGAAGGUGGGGAUGACGUCAAGUCAUCAUGGCCUUUAUGUCCAGGGCUACACACGUGCUACAAUGGCCGGUACAGAACGUUGCCAACCCGCGAGGGGGAGCAAAUCGUCAAAAACCGGUCUCAGUUCGGAUUGCAGGCUGCAACUCGCCUGCAUGAAGCUGGAAUCGCUAGUAAUGGCAUAUCAGAACGAUGCCGUGAAUACGUUCCCGGGCCUUGCACACACCGCCCGU
Molecule: ribosomal RNA, 499 nt
Filed under: uncultured bacterium
Lineage: Bacteria
Description: partial 16S ribosomal RNA
Rfam family: Bacterial small subunit ribosomal RNA
Source: RNAcentral